RNAcentral lists this ribosomal RNA (718 nucleotides) under uncultured fungus. RNAcentral's name for it is "eukaryotic LSU rRNA". It matches the Rfam family "Eukaryotic large subunit ribosomal RNA", at positions 24 to 664 of the family's 3401-position model. Lineage: Eukaryota; Fungi. The record is from RNAcentral.
CCCGCUGAACUUAAGCAUAUCAAUAAGCGGAGGAAAAGAAACCAACAGGGAUUCCCUUAGUAACGGCGAGUGAAGCGGGAAUAGCUCAAUUUUGAAAUCUCGCGGGUUCCCCGUGCGAAUUGUAGUUUCAAGAAACGUUUUCGAAGGUGCUGGAGGCCCAAGUCCGUUGGAACGCGGUACCACAGAGGGUGAGAGUCCCGUUGGGUCUUUUUAAAAUUGCACUUUUGUCCGAUACGUUUUCAAAGAGUCGGAUAGUUUGGGAAUGCUGUCCAAAAUGGGUGGUAAAUACCAUCUAAAGCUAAAUAUUGGCGAGAGACCGAUAGCGAACAAGUACCGUGAGGGAAAGAUGAAAAGAACUUUGAAAAGAGAGUUAAAAGUACGUGAAAUUGUCAAAAGGGAAACGCUUGAAACCAGUAUUGCGCCCAACGUCAAAUCAGCCCUUCUUUGGGUGCACUUUGCGUUGCGUGGGUCAGCAUCAAUUCGGAUCGGAGUAAAAAGCGCUGUGGAAGGUGACCCUCUGGGUGUUUAUAGCCGCAGCCGCCAUGCUCUGGCCCGGAUUGAGGACUGCAGCUCUGCAUUGGGGCAAGAAGCCGCCUCUAACCGCUUGCCUGCAAACAACUUGUUGAUUGCGGGAGGAGCCGAGGAGCCCCGGUUUCCCUACCACUCUGAGCUUGGGAUGCUGACGAAAUGGUUUUAAACGACCCGUCUUGAAACACGG